UACUCGGCGUCGGUUCAUUGCUUGUGGGAGAGAGUCAUCUCGCGCAGCUCGGCUGCGUCCACCUGCGCUCGGAGGUUGCUGGGCCUGUAGUACCCCGUCACCGGGUCCGGGACCCAAGAAUUCGACGAAGCAGAGGUGGAGGAGGAGGCGGCGGUGGUCGAGGAGUCUACCACCUUGCGCGCCACCGUUUUCUGCUCCACGGACCUUCUCACACCAGCCGCCGCCGCCGCUGCCGCAGCGUAUCCCCUCCUGGAUGAAUCGAACGGAGCAGGAGUAAGUAAUGGUCCAAUUAUAGAUUAUAGAUUAUAGAUAGAUGAUGAUGAUUGGUAUAUCAGUUACCGGUUAACCAAGAGGGCGAUGUUUUGAGAGACGGACGCAGCGAGAGCAGCAGCACUAGAGAGAGAGCGAGCCAUCUGCCCUCUUCGUUUUAUCACCUUAAUUUCUCUAGCUAGUAGAAAGAAAGAGAAGAGAUGGACGAACAGGAAGAGGUCCUUCUCUUCGUGUUGUUGUGCUCCUCUCUCUCUUUCUCUCUCUCUCCUUCUAUCCUCCCUACCUUGGCCUGUUUGGUUUGGGGAUGAAGUGAGACCGAAUGCCAAGGUGUUUAUUUAUAGCAACAGCUGUGAACCGGAAAUGGCUGUGUAUGUGUUUUGUGUGGGAGGAAACGAAGCCGUGGGGCGGGUUAUCACCCAGUAGUAUCUCUUUGGCUCUUCCGCAUCGCCACGAGCCGCUGUUUCCUUUAAUUAAUUCCCCGAGAGAGAGAGAGAGAGAGAGCUGUGUGGUCCGGAGAAUUCGACCUCCGCCAUCUUGCCUUUGAAAAAUCUUCUGCGCCGCAGCUGCUGACAGGCAGACUCCUCUGCUCAGCUGCUGACAGGCAGUCAGGUGGAUGUCAACUUCUACAAGAUAUUCCAGUGGCUUGUUUAAAUGGAUUCCCUGUCCAACUUUUUGGUUUGGGGAAGAACUCUAGAUACUAUCAAAGUAUCAAUCUAAUUGUGAUCUGAUCACUUGGUAUCGUGCUCCAUCAAUCUAACUGCUAAGAUAUAAAAUGUAGUUUGGUCGGAGACACCUGUCGAGAAAACAGAUCAUGCACUGAUUUCUUCUUGGAUUUGCAGACAAUUCAAGCAGUUGUAGAAAGAGAGAUGAGAUGAGCCGGUUGGAGAGGGGGAUUGAUGGAACCCUAUUUGUUCUACCGUCAACAAGUGGCUGGUGGAUUGAGUGCCAAGAACAUUAUCUUUAGUAUCAAAACAACGAGAGCUUUUAGGCUAGUGGAUUUUGAGUGCCACGAACACCACAUGCAAACAUUAUCCUUAGUAUCAGAACAACGAUAGCUUUUUGAGGAUGAAGAGUAUGGCAUCACUAAUUAUCUUUAUCGAGGUGUCUAAAAGUAAGUUAAUGGUAUCAUUGCGUAAGUGAUAAAUCUCAUGCAUAUUGUUUUCAUCUGACUUCUUUCCCUUUUAGUUUUGCUCUGUUCUGAUAAUAAAACUGUGGCUUUGUCUUAGAUUACGAGGGGAGAAGAAGUAGAUGCUUAAAGAGACAAGCUCCUCAAACAAAGCCAGUCAAACUUAAUUACAUGAGUAAGUCAAUUUGGUAUCUCAAGUAUAGAACACUUUGGGCUUCUCUGCUGGAGUUGGAGUAGGUCGUUUAAUCGAGCUCGUUUCUUUGCUGAUGCCAUUUGCAUUCCCAGACAAUAUCUUCAUUAAAUCAUUCUAAAGGAAAAAAGAAGAAACAAUUAGUAGCAUAGAACCAAUAAAGCUUCGUAUCGCAGAAACCACUCCUACGAAGUCUUAGUGCUUGCCAUUUGUUCAUUUUCGUGUGUAUAUAUACAACGCCAACUUUAAAAGCUUCUGUCUAUUGAUUUUCCUCAAAAUAGAUCUAGAGAUAAUGAGAGAUUAGAUAAAAAGAAAAAGGGUGUAAUAAGGAGAGUUAUGUUUGAGUUUAGGAUAAUUUAAGAAAAUUUAUAAUUUAAUCUCACAUGAUGAAAAUUUUAAUUAUCUCUAUAAAAAAAAUAAAAAGGGUCCAACUACUUAAAUCUUUUAUCCAUCUUUAUAAUUUUUGUUUGAUUUUUGAUCUAUGAAUUUUUGUUUGAUUGAUGGUCUAUGAAUUUUCUUAGUGUAACAGAUUUUACAGACACCAAAAAUUAAAAUUGCUCAAGUUCUCUCCACAUCUUAAAAUUACACCUACGCCUAUUUAAGUUUUACGACUUGUUCAAGUCAAAUAUCUUUGAUGAUGCCAGUUUGAACACUAGUCAUUAUUUUUUCUUAGAGUAUGAUGUGAUUUGUAUGAAUAUUAAUUAUUCUUCAACUAUGACAGAUGAACAUUUUUCAACAUAUUUAUUACUAUAGCAUCCAUUUCGAUUAUUAAGAUAGUAAAUAAUAUAACGCAUAGUUAAACAUGUUAGGAUAAACUAGCAGGGGUGAAUUAGUGUUUUUGUAGAAGUUACGAAUUAGAAAAUCCUCGUUCGAUAAACUCCUAUCAGAAAGAUACUUAAUUUAAAAUCAGUAAGUAAUAAAGGUAAAUAUCAAAAGAAAAGAGUAUACCAAAUUUAUCGUGGUUCGAUCAUCGGCGUCGAUGUCCACUAAUGAUCUUUCUUUAAUGGGUGAAGACCAAUUACCAUUUUACAACUCUUUUCUCCUUUUGGCAAGUUUAGAAAAGAACUUUUACACCCCCUUUUUAUAAAGUUUUCCUCACACUCUCUCUUAGAAUAGUUUUUAAACUUUAGGAGGAGAGACUCAACACUUUACAAGGGUUUACAAAUUUAGAAUCACAGAGUUUUGUUCUACUUUCUUGCUCUCUUAAACAAAAAAUAUUAGGGUAUUUAUAGACCUCAAAUUACUUUAAAAAUUAGGGCCAAAAUUCAAAUCCUCGAGAUUUCGGGGUACUAGCGAUACCAUCGCUUAAGUUGGGCGGUACUACCGCCUGCAGUAUUGACACUAAGUAGUACCACCGCCUAACACUGGGCGAUACCACCACCCAAUCUAGUAGUAUCAUCGUCUAACACAAUCUCGGAGAUUGUGUCUUGGAGACUAAGCCGUUGGCGAUUCCACCACCUAGACCAGUGGUGCCACUACUUGACCCAACUUUUGGGUCACUAAAUAGGUCUUUCUCUUAGCUCAAAAUAGCUCCAUCUUAGGCCUAAUUGAGUUGACCUAAUUAUAUUCAAACCAACUCAAUUAGAACUCUAAACUAAUUCGAUCUAAAUAAAUUAUUACAAAGUAUGAAUCAUAUAUUGUCUGGCAUGUUAUUGGUUCUUUCGACGCUUUGUUUGAUCCUUCGGCGCAUCGUCCUCUCCUUCAACAUAAUGCCCAAUUGGCAUGUUAACUUCCUACAAUAUCCGAUCUCCUUGGUGCAAAGUUUGAUUCUUCCAGCUCGAUGCCCGAACUCACGGCACGAAGUCCUUCUAUCGGUACAUCGAUCAAUCUUCUAACAUGUUCAACUCUAGCCUUACGUCUGAUUCCUCCUAUUUCAAUCAAUUUGCCUCUCCUUGAUUGAAGCUAAUCCUGUGUUAAUCACAAACUCAUCAAUUGAUUUCAUCAUCAAAAUACGAGAUUCAAUAAUUUUUCCUUUUUUUAUGAUGACAAUCAAUUGAUAACAGAGUUUAAACUAAACUCUCCUUACCAAUAUGUCAUAUUGAUAAAAUCUUUAAAUUCAGAAAAUCAUGUAAUGCUUUAAAAAAUAAAAGUACAUCAUACCAUGCAUGAUUCGACAUAUUAUCAUAUCUUUUCUCCCUUUGUCAUCAAUAAAAAGGAGAAGUGCAUCUUAUAAGUUUUUGAGAUAUGCAAGUUUUACAACAUACAAGCAAUAAUUUUGAGUUGUGUAAGUUUAUAAAUUUUACUUCUUGAGAUAUACAAGUUUGCACUUUUGCUUCUCUUGAUAUGUGAAGACAACAAAUUCUUUCUUCUCUUGCAAGCUAUCGAUUUGCUUCUUCUUGAAAUGUGCAAGCUAGCAAAUUAUUUUUUUCUUUUUGCGAUAUGCAAGCUAGCAAGUUCUUGAGAAUGUGAAGUUUAGCGAAAUUUUUCUUCUCUUGAGAUAACAACUUUUUGUUUCUUUUUAUAAUGUGUAUUUUAGCAGGUUUUCUCUCCUUGAAAUGUGCAAGCUAGCAAUACUUUCUCCCCCUUUGUCAUUAUCAAAAGGAAGAAUACAAUGGUACAAAAUUUUUCUUUUUACAUCAAUUUUUAGAUUAUAACAAAUAUUAAU
This 4191-nucleotide long non-coding RNA is filed under the name Musa acuminata (dwarf banana). RNAcentral describes it as "long non-coding RNA (MACU_LNC003275)". Lineage: Eukaryota; Viridiplantae; Streptophyta; Magnoliopsida; Zingiberales; Musaceae. The record is from RNAcentral.